RNAcentral lists this long non-coding RNA (261 nucleotides) under Elaeis guineensis (African oil palm). RNAcentral describes it as "long non-coding RNA (EGUI_LNC004315)". Lineage: Eukaryota; Viridiplantae; Streptophyta; Magnoliopsida; Arecales; Arecaceae. The record is from RNAcentral.
AUGAUGCAGGGCAUUUAGAUUUAUACAAGGCAGUCAUGAAACUAAAUUAUAAUAAUGACAUUAGUUACCCAACUGACGAAAGGAACUGGAAUGAAAGUAGCAGCAGCUCACAAUAGAGUCACUCAAAGCUAGUGGAUGAAAGCUCUCUAAUAGCAUACAAAACUGCUUUAAGUUAAAUAAUGUGGCAAGAAUCUUAUUAUAUCCACACCUGAUGGUCGUACGUGCAUAUAUGGACAGUCAGCUUGGAGUAUCAUUACCCAC